Molecule: ribosomal RNA, 255 nt
Filed under: uncultured bacterium
Lineage: Bacteria
Description: partial small subunit ribosomal RNA
Rfam family: Bacterial small subunit ribosomal RNA
Source: RNAcentral
AGGACGAACGCUGGCGGCGUGCUUAACACAUGCAAGUCGAGCGGUAAGGCCCUUCGGGGUACACGAGCGGCGAACGGGUGAGUAACACGUGGGUGACCUGCCCUCCACUCUGGGAUAAGCCUUGGAAACGGGGUCUAAUACCGGAUAUGACCACAUGUCGCAUGGUGUGUGGUGGAAAGCGUUUAGUGGUGGGGGAUGGGCCCGCGGCCUAUCAGCUUGUUGGUGGGUGAUGGCCUACCAAGGCGACGACGGGUA